This 884-nucleotide long non-coding RNA is filed under the name Numida meleagris (helmeted guineafowl). Its description in RNAcentral is "lncRNA (ENSNMEG00000010935.1)". The record is from RNAcentral. Lineage: Eukaryota; Metazoa; Chordata; Aves; Galliformes; Numididae.
CCCAGUUUGCUAAGGCAAAAUACAGCGAUAAAAAAAAAAAAGGAAGAAAAAACACGUGGAGCAAAAGCACGCACCCCUGUGUGAAAACAGCCCCCCAGAAUCACAAAGCGACCAGAAAAUGUGUUCUUAAUCGUGAGAGGCUGAGGGCCUGCCAGCCACAGAGCUGUGAUGGGACGGAAGUGCUGGUGACAGCAGACACUGACACCUCUCAUAAAGGCUCCAAGUGCAAAACUCCAGGCUGCCAACACACCAGGAGGUCACAGAGGGGUUUUCUCCCCCAGCUGGGGGUUGCCCUGUGCCCUGACCCAUGUGCAGCCCCUGCUCUGCAGAUGGGAGCUGGGCCUCACCUGUGCCGUGAAGGCCACACCUCCCCGAUGGGGUAAACCAGCCUUCAUCAGUUAUCAGCUGUGUAAUGAGCUGUAAUGCAGUGCAGGUGUGCUGGUAGCUGGUGCUGCUGGGUGAGUGACUGGUUCCUGCCAGCACAAAGCCCAGGAGCUGCUCUGGGAGCAACACUGGAGUGUGUCUGCUGCAUCUCUGUGUGGUACAACAUGGAGCUGUGCUACCUGGGCAACUGUACUGCGGUGUGGACAUCAGUGUGCCACCCGCGUGAUGAAGAAGCGAGAAAAAACGAUCUCAAGAUCACAGUCUGUCAGAAAAAUGAACGCAUUUUAAACGGCGAAGGACGAACGCGGCGCUCGCUGGCGGGGCCCUCCCCUGCUGCCCUGCAGGAGGUGUGUAAGGCACUGAGACAAAGGCUGGGACGCCCAUCCGGACUCCAGGGACAACAGGGAGAUGGUGCCGAAGCUUGGGUGCACUUCCACCACGUAUUUCACAGCCAGGGAGGCGAAGCUGCACCCCCCAGCGCUGGCCCUGCUCAGAUGUAA